GCUUCCUUGGUGUAGUUGGCUAUCACGUGAGUCUCAUAGUGCAUCUUUGAUCUAACGACAACGUUAGAGAUAUCUCAAGGUCGCCAGUUCGAUCCUGGCAGGGAGCA
Exophiala spinifera is the source of this 107-nucleotide non-coding RNA. The record is from the annotation of a RefSeq genome assembly. NCBI's taxonomy places the organism in Eukaryota, Fungi, Ascomycota, Eurotiomycetes, Chaetothyriales, Herpotrichiellaceae.